This 468-nucleotide ribosomal RNA is filed under the name uncultured bacterium. RNAcentral's name for it is "partial 16S ribosomal RNA". It matches the Rfam family "Bacterial small subunit ribosomal RNA", at positions 28 to 507 of the family's 1533-position model. The record is from RNAcentral.
GACGAACGCUGGCGGCGUGCUUAACACAUGCAAGUCGAACGGAAAGGCCCUGCUUUUGUGGGGUGCUCGAGUGGCGAACGGGUGAGUAACACGUGAGUAACCUGCCCUUGACUUUGGGAUAACUUCAGGAAACUGGGGCUAAUACCGGAUAGGAGCUCCUGCUGCAUGGGGGGGGUUGGAAAGUUUCGGCGGUUGGGGAUGGGCUCGCGGCUUAUCAGCUUGUUUGUGGGGUAGUGGCUUACCAAGGCUUUGACGGGUAGCCGGCCUGAGAGGGUGACCGGCCACAUUGGGACUGAGAUACGGCCCAGACUCCUACGGGAGGCAGCAGUGGGGAAUAUUGCACAAUGGGCGGAAGCCUGAUGCAGCAACGCCGCGUGCGGGAUGACGGCCUUCGGGUUGUAAACCGCUUUCGCCUGUGACGAAGCGUGAGUGACGGUAAUGGGUAAAGAAGCACCGGCUAACUACGUG